This is a long non-coding RNA of Podarcis raffonei (Aeolian wall lizard), 945 nucleotides long. RefSeq lists it as uncharacterized. Lineage: Eukaryota; Metazoa; Chordata; Lepidosauria; Squamata; Lacertidae. The record is from RefSeq and is a predicted model, not a curated record. The transcript has 5 exons.
GCUUGGCGCGGGAGUUGGGGGGGAGGAGGGGGCGCCGCAGCUCCUCUGGGUCUCGAACUCCUCUCUCUCGGUCCGGCUUCCAUUCUUCUCUUCCACAGAAUUCAGCUCCUCUGGCUUGGGCAAUCUGGGCCUUGGAUCAGCAGUGCGAUUCUGGCUACCCAUAGAAAUAAGGGGUCGGCACACCGGCAGUGCAAUAGAUGAGCCUUACCCUGGGAAAACCUCCUUCCUGAUCAAGGUGUCUCCUCUGCCAGAAUUUGCCAGUACCUCUCAUUCGUUUGGAUUGACAGAACUUAGCAGAAGACCAAGGGGUUCCUUCUGAUCUUUUCGGAGACUUCCUGAUAGCACAGAUGAAUGAGCAAGACUCAGCUGGCCCUGAAGCAGGAAGAGGCCAUGGCAUUGACAAUGGGAGCAGUGGGGGAUUCUGGGAAAACUCUGCAGAAGAUCCUGGGUGAGGAGGACACCCUCCGCUCAGAGGUGCAGAGCCGGCAGUUCAGGUGGUUCUGCUACCAGGACGCCAAAGGACCUCGCGAGGUUUGCAGCCAACUCUACUACUUCUGCCACCAGUGGCUGAAGCCAGAAAGGCACACGAAAGCUGAGAUGCUGGACCUGGUGAUCAUGGAGCAGUUACUGGCUGUCCUUCCAGCGGAGAUGGAGAAUGGGUGAGGGAAUGCGGAGCAGAGACCAGUUCCCAGGCAGUGGCCCUGGCCGAAGGUUUCCUCCUGAGUCAGGCAGAGGAGAGAAAGCAGGCAGAGCAGCAGGAAAAGGAUCAGUCGGCAGCAACGGGUCCUGAUCCCUCUGAGGCAGAGAGGACUUCGCUGGACACCAGAGAGAGGCCGCUGGACAAAAUCGGCUGCCUUGUCCCAGGAUUCAGCCUAAGAGCAGCUGUCCCUGCCCAGCAGAAGACAUCCAAGCCUAGACUCGACAAGGUAAGUCCUGAGUAUCAUA